GAUGAACGCUGGCGGCGUGCCUAAUACAUGCAAGUCGAGCGAACGGACGAGAAGCUUGCUUCUCUGAUGUUAGCGGCGGACGGGAGAGUAACACGUGGAUAACCUACCUAUAAGACUGGGAUAACUUCGGGAGACCGGAGCUAAUACCGGAUAAUAUAUUGAACCGCAUGGUUCAAAAGUGAAAGUCGGUCUUUCUUUCACUUAUAGAUGGAUCCGCGCUGCAUUAGCUAGUUGGUAAGGUAACGGCUUACCAAGGCAACGAUGCAUAGCCGACCUGAGAGGGUGAUCGGCCACACUGGAACUGAGACACGGUCCAGACUCCUACGGGAGGCAGCAGUAGGGAAUCUUCCGCAAUGGGCGAAAGCCUGACGGAGCAACGCCGCGUGAGUGAUGAAGGUCUUCGGAUCGUAAAACUCUGUUAUUAGGGAAGAACAUAUGUGUAAGUAACUGUGCACAUCUUGACGGUACCUAAUCAGAAAGCCACGGCUAACUACGUG
Molecule: ribosomal RNA, 497 nt
Filed under: uncultured bacterium
Lineage: Bacteria
Description: partial 16S ribosomal RNA
Rfam family: Bacterial small subunit ribosomal RNA
Source: RNAcentral